Notothenia coriiceps (black rockcod) is the source of this 606-nucleotide long non-coding RNA. RefSeq lists it as uncharacterized. The record is from RefSeq and is a predicted model, not a curated record. The transcript has 4 exons. Lineage: Eukaryota; Metazoa; Chordata; Actinopteri; Perciformes; Nototheniidae.
GGGCUGCAGCUUUCACGGUCUUUCAGCGCCUCACUCACCAGCAGCACGCAGCAAAAAUGUCCUCUCCAAUAUCCAUAAUGCCAAACAACAUGAACCAGUCAAUCUUCUGUACCGACGUGGUCUGCUAUCCUAUGCCUUUUGGGGGAUCCCUGUGUGAGGUGAAUGCAGGAUGAUGGCUGUGUCAGCUGCUGCAGAAUCUCCAGAGAUGACUGCUGCUGAAACACCACACUCUGCCAAGCAGUGGAACCACAGGAGUUAAUGCAUCCUGAUAAAGGAGCUCCAACAAGAGGACUGCUGCCCUCGGCAUCCAGUCAUUCUCCUGGGUUAAGCGUUGGGAGAGGAAACUUGAGAGAAGAUGUCCCAGCUGUGAUGUUCACUGUUGAGCAGUCUUUGGCCGACAGGUGACAAGCGGCACUGCGAAGGAGAUGGCUCAUUUUCCUGAUGGAAAAACAAAUGUGCUUUUUGUUUUUAUAUAUACUUUUUUCAUUUUAGUUUGCUGCGUCUGACUGGCAACAUUUGACAUGCACAUGGUAAAUCCAGGCAGAAUGUAUCAGCUGUACAUGAAAUGUAAAAUGGAAUCCUGAAAAUAAAACUAUUCGACUAAUC